Long non-coding RNA from Daucus carota subsp. sativus, 574 nucleotides. RefSeq lists it as uncharacterized. NCBI's taxonomy places the organism in Eukaryota, Viridiplantae, Streptophyta, Magnoliopsida, Apiales, Apiaceae. The transcript is spliced from 3 exons. The record is from RefSeq and is a predicted model, not a curated record.
GUGUUUUAAUGAUUUAUAUUGCAACUUAAAAAAGAUCCCAACUCCGACAAAGAAUAUGUUUCGCAAGUACAACAUAGAAUUCCGGGACAUGGGCCUCUUUGUCAUUGGAUAACAUUAAUGCCCAUACGUUUUCUAUAUAAACUCAAGUACGAUCCAAACAACAACACUAGGUUUUUAGCUUUCGAGUUAAACAGCGUAAUAAUAAUAAGAAAAGAAGCAACAAAAAGGAAGAUGGGUUUCUGGAGAUGUGCGGUGAGCCAUGUUAUUCAGGUUUUUAACACGAAUCCCCGAUCCUUUACUGUAGCCUCGUGGAUUCUCCCCACGUUAGUGGUCACAAAAACUAUACUCCAACGCAGAAAUAAUAUUGCUGAUGAAGACUUAGACAAAUAUUGGGAAAGAUACUUGAAGUUGAAAGAUAUUACUGUUGGUGGCGAGACGGUGUCAAGACCGAAAGAAUUUAAGAAGAAUCAGUAGUUUAUCAAUUUUUAUCUCAGCAACUCUUGCUGUGGGUGUAUUUUAAUUUGUUUGAUGUCAUAAUUAUACGUAAUUGUGUUCGAAUUUUUUAGUUCUGGAA